RNAcentral lists this ribosomal RNA (222 nucleotides) under Vibrio parahaemolyticus. RNAcentral's name for it is "partial 16S ribosomal RNA". It matches the Rfam family "Bacterial small subunit ribosomal RNA", at positions 1 to 213 of the family's 1533-position model. The record is from RNAcentral. Lineage: Bacteria; Pseudomonadati; Pseudomonadota; Gammaproteobacteria; Vibrionales; Vibrionaceae.
AAAUUGAAGAGUUUGAUCAUGGCUCAGAUUGAACGCUGGCGGCAGGCCUAACACAUGCAAGUCGAGCGGAAACGAGUUAUCUGAACCUUCGGGGAACGAUAACGGCGUCGAGCGGCGGACGGGUGAGUAAUGCCUAGGAAAUUGCCCUGAUGUGGGGGAUAACCAUUGGAAACGAUGGCUAAUACCGCAUGAUGCCUACGGGCCAAAGAGGGGGACCUUGGG